Molecule: ribosomal RNA, 468 nt
Filed under: uncultured bacterium
Lineage: Bacteria
Description: SSU rRNA
Rfam family: Bacterial small subunit ribosomal RNA
Source: RNAcentral
AGAAUCAACGCUGGCGGCGUGCCUAACACAUGCAAGUCGAACGAGAAAGUGGAGCAAUCCAUGAGUAAAGUGGCGACCGGGUGAGUAACACGUGACUAACCUACCUUCGAGUGGGGGAUAACCUCGGGAAACCGAGGCUAAUACCGCAUAACAUCGUGAGAUCAAAGCAGUAAUGCGCUGGAAGAGGGGGUCGCGGCUGAUUAGCUAGUUGGCGGGGUAAUGGCCCACCAAGGCGAAGAUCGGUAGCCGGGCCCUGAGAGGGGCGCGACGGACCGACGACCUGGUAACGUGAAACACGGUCCAGACUCCUACGGGAGGCAGCAGUGGGGAAUUUGCGCAAUGGGGGAAACCCUGACGCAGCAACGCCGCGUGGAGGAUGAAGUCCCUUGGGACGUAAGCUCCUUCGACCAAGACGAUAAUGACGGUACUGGUGGAAGAAGCACCGGCUAACUCUGUGCCAGCAGCCGC